RNAcentral lists this ribosomal RNA (468 nucleotides) under uncultured bacterium. Its description in RNAcentral is "partial 16S ribosomal RNA". It matches the Rfam family "Bacterial small subunit ribosomal RNA", at positions 28 to 507 of the family's 1533-position model. The record is from RNAcentral.
GACGAACGCUGGCGGCGUGCUUAACACAUGCAAGUCGAACGGAAAGGCCCUGCUUUUGUGGGGUGCUCGAGUGGCGAACGGGUGAGUAACACGUGAGUAACCUGCCCUUGUCUUUGGGAUAUCUUCAGGAAACUGGGGCUAAUACCGGAUAGGAGCUCCUGCUGCAUGGUGGGGGUUGGAAAGUUUCGGCGGUUGGGGAUGGUCUCGCUGCUUUUCAGCUUGUUGGUGGGGUAGUGGCUUACCAAGGCUUUGACGGGUAUCCGGCCUGAGAGGGUGACCGGGGAAAUUGGGACUGAGAGACGGACCAGAAUACAAGGGGAGGCAGAAGGGGGGAAUAGUGCACAAUGGGAGGAAGGCUGAUGAAGCAACGCAGGGAGCGGGAUGACGGCAAAGGGGUUGAAAAAAGAAUUAGAAUGUGACGAAGCGAGAGUGACGGUAAUGGGAAAAGAAGCAACGGCUAACUACGUG